Long non-coding RNA from Scleropages formosus (Asian bonytongue), 574 nucleotides. RefSeq lists it as uncharacterized. NCBI's taxonomy places the organism in Eukaryota, Metazoa, Chordata, Actinopteri, Osteoglossiformes, Osteoglossidae. The transcript is spliced from 3 exons. The record is from RefSeq and is a predicted model, not a curated record.
AAGUAAAGGAGGGGUCUUGAAACGCGGUAAAUCCUGCGUGUCGCUACAGUCGCAACGCCUCACUAAAGAAACUCAAAUGAGGUUCGGAGAUUCUUGUUCAUCGUUUCCGCAUUCGGAGCACAGAUGAUACCAUAAGAGCAGGAUGUUUGAAGCGUUACACCCCACCACCCCCCAGGGAUGAGUCGUCCCGCAUCCUGCUUCAGAGACGUCCGACUUCUCUACAUGUCUUCGGCGAGCAUCAGACAAGCACGGCACUGUGGUAAAAUACCACGGGUUCACAAAGGUGACAUUAUCCGGCGGUGGUCCAGAACAGCCACACUGGACCCCGCCAGAUGGGAGCAGGUGACCUGCUGCAGGGAGGGAAGGGGCAGCAGCAGAGCCGUGUCUCCGACCCGUCGCUCGCCGGUGAGCUUUUCGCAGGAGUCCGAGCUCCUCGGCCCCUUCGAAGGUCUUGCGCUUGUACGCUGCUAGUGACCGUGUUAACUUCACUGUUCAGGAUACUGACCCUGCCCCCCCGUAUCAGAGCGGUUAACGAUCCGCUUCACGCCCCUCGCUAUGAUCGCACGGCUUUAAG